UCACCUGUAAUACUGAAAGAUAGAUAUAAGAUGCAUUUUUUUUAUGUGAUGGAAGAAGCAUAAGGUUGAACAUGCCCAAUGUUAUAAAUGUCACUCUCAGAAGCCUGGAAAUGAGACCCGUUGUAGGGCUCUAAGUCUUUAACUGAAAAAAAAAAAAGAAAUGACCCUACUUCCACUUCCACUUCACUCUUAGCAUUGUGGUAACAAAUUGAAAGGAAGAAUGUUUAUAUGCAC
This 234-nucleotide long non-coding RNA is filed under the name Arachis ipaensis. RNAcentral describes it as "long non-coding RNA (AIPA_LNC002266)". The record is from RNAcentral. Lineage: Eukaryota; Viridiplantae; Streptophyta; Magnoliopsida; Fabales; Fabaceae.